RNAcentral lists this ribosomal RNA (405 nucleotides) under Proasellus ligusticus. RNAcentral's name for it is "partial 16S ribosomal RNA". It matches the Rfam family "Bacterial large subunit ribosomal RNA", at positions 1952 to 2597 of the family's 2925-position model. Lineage: Eukaryota; Metazoa; Arthropoda; Malacostraca; Isopoda; Asellidae. The record is from RNAcentral.
CAAGGUAGCAUAAUCACUUGUCUUUUAAUUGGAGGCUAGAAUGAAAGAGGCGACGAAAUUUAGACUAUUUAAAUUAUAAAAUUAAAUUGACAUAAAGGUUAAAAGGCUUUUAUAUAUCAAAGGGACGACAAGACCCUAUAAAACUUUACUAUAAGGAUAAAUUACUUAGAUUGAUUAAAAACUAUAGUUUGACUGGGGCGGUUUAUAUAAAAACAAUUGGAAUAUAAAUAUUUUAAAUAUAUCUAGAGAACUCUGUAAAGAAAUGAUUAAGUUACUUUAGGGAUAACAGCAUAAUUCUCCUAGAGAGUCCUAAUUGGCAGGAGAGCUUAUGACCUCGAUGUUGAAUUGGGGUGUCUGAUGUAAGUAGAAAUAUAUUAAGAUGGUCUGUUCGACCUUUAAAUCCCC